AACGCACAUUGCGCCCAUUAGUAUUCUAGUGGGCAUGCCUGUUCGAGCGUCAUUACAACCCUUAAGCCUCGGUUGCUUAGCGUUGGGAGCCUUACGCCUAGGGCGUAAACUCCUCAAAGUUAUUGGCAGAGUUACGGUAUACUCUAAGCGUAGUAAUUAUUUUCUCGCUUCUGAGAGUGUCGUGACGAUCGCCAUAAGCCUCUAUAUUUCUAGUGGUUGACCUCGGAUCAGGUAGGAAUACCCGCUGAACUUAA
This 254-nucleotide unclassified non-coding RNA is filed under the name uncultured Xylariales. Its description in RNAcentral is "sequence contains 5.8S rRNA gene, ITS2, 28S rRNA gene". The record is from RNAcentral. Lineage: Eukaryota; Fungi; Ascomycota; Sordariomycetes; Xylariales.